Long non-coding RNA from Cebus imitator (Panamanian white-faced capuchin), 734 nucleotides. RefSeq lists it as uncharacterized. The transcript is spliced from 3 exons. The record is from RefSeq and is a predicted model, not a curated record. NCBI's taxonomy places the organism in Eukaryota, Metazoa, Chordata, Mammalia, Primates, Cebidae.
AGACAAGAAGGAGCUCCAAACAAGAUGGAGCUUGGAGCUGAUGUUCCUCUGUGUAAGAUGGAGCUACAAGCUAGAUGGAGCUUGGAGUGAAAGGAGCUCAGAGCAGAUGGUGCUCAGAGCAAGAUGGAGCUCGGAGUGAUUGGAUCACUGAGCAAGAUGGAGCUCAGAGCAGAUGGAGCUCUGAGCAAGACAGAACUCUGCAGAUGGAGUUCUGAGCAAGAUAGAGCUCAGAGCAGAUGGAGCUCUGAGCAGGUUAAGCUCUGAACAGAUUAAGCUCAGAAAAGAAGGAGCUCCAAGCAAGAUGGAACUUGGAGCUCAUGUUCCUCUGUGUAAGAUGGAGCUCAGAGCUAGAUGGAGCUUGGAGUGAAAGGAGCUCUGAGCAAGGUAGAGCUCAGAGUAGAUGAUGGAACUCUGAGCAAGAUAGAACUCAGAGCAGAUGGAGCUCUGAGCAAGAUGGAGCUCAGAAGCAGAUGGAGCUUCAAUCAGAUGGUGCUCAGAGCAAGAUGGAGCUUGGAGUAAUUGGAGUUUCAAACUAGAUGGAGCUCAGAUCAGAUAGACCUCUGAGCAACAAGGAGCUCCAAGCAAGAUGAAGCUUGGAGCAGAUGUUGCUGGUGUAAGAUGGACCUCAGAGCAGAUAGUGCUUAGAGUAAGAGGCCGCUCAGAGUGAUUGGCACUCUGAACAUUGCUCUGAACAAUUGGAGCUCUGAGCAAGAUGCAGCUUAGAGUAGAUAGAG